AACGAGGUCCAUUCUGUAGCAAUACAGAGGAAGACCUAGUGGCGAACGGGUGAGGAACACGUGAGGAACCUGCCCCGAACUUUGGGAUAACAGUUGGAAACGACUGCUAAUACCGAAUGCCGUUACGAAGUGGCAUCACUUUGUAACGAAAGAAUUUCGGUUCGGGAGGGCCUCGCGGCCUAUCAGCUAGUUGGUGGGGUAAUGGCCUACCAAGGCAUCGACGGGUAGCUGGUCUGAGAGGACGAUCAGCCACACUGGGACUGAGACACGGCCCAGACUCC
This 281-nucleotide ribosomal RNA is filed under the name unidentified marine bacterioplankton. RNAcentral describes it as "partial 16S ribosomal RNA". It matches the Rfam family "Bacterial small subunit ribosomal RNA", at positions 65 to 339 of the family's 1533-position model. The record is from RNAcentral.